This 253-nucleotide ribosomal RNA is filed under the name uncultured bacterium. Its description in RNAcentral is "partial 16S ribosomal RNA". It matches the Rfam family "Bacterial small subunit ribosomal RNA", at positions 524 to 776 of the family's 1533-position model. The record is from RNAcentral.
UACAGAGGUCUCAAGCGUUGUUCGGAUUCAUUGGGCGUAAAGGGUGCGUAGGCGGCGCGGUAAGUCGGGUGUGAAAUCUUGGAGCUUAACUCCGAAACUGCAGUCGAUACUGCCGUGCUUGAGGACUGGAGAGGAGACUGGAAUUUACGGUGUAGCGGUGAAAUGCGUAGAUAUCGUAAGGAAGACCAGUGGCGAAGGCGGGUCUCUGGACAGUUCCUGACGCUGAGGCACGAAGGCCAGGGGAGCGAACGGG